This 1923-nucleotide ribosomal RNA is filed under the name metagenomes. Its description in RNAcentral is "bacterial LSU rRNA". It matches the Rfam family "Bacterial large subunit ribosomal RNA", at positions 3 to 1973 of the family's 2925-position model. The record is from RNAcentral.
UCAAGUGACUAAGUGCAUGUGGUGGAUGCCUUGGCGAUUACAGGCGACGAAGGACGUGAUAGCCUGCGAUAAGCUUCGGGGAGCUGGCAAAUUAGCUUUGAUCCGGAGAUUUCCGAAUGGGGAAACCCACCCUUAGGGGUAUCGCAUGGUGAAUACAUAGCCAUGCGAGGCGAACCGGGUGAACUGAAACAUCUCAGUAGCUCGAGGAAAAGACAUCAACCGAGAUUCCGAAAGUAGCGGCGAGCGAAAUCGGAACAGCCUUGUACUCUUUAGCCUUCGACAUAUCAAAACAGAAUGGAAAGUCUGGCCAGAGCGGGUGAUAGCCCCGUAUGAAAAAUGUCUUUGGUGGAACUAGGUGUACGACAAGUAGGGCGGGACACGUGACAUCCUGUCUGAAGAUGGGGGGACCAUCCUCCAAGGCUAAAUACUCGUAAUCGACCGAUAGUGAACCAGUACCGUGAGGGAAAGGCGAAAAGAACCCCGGGAGGGGAGUGAAAUAGAUCCUGAAACCGCAUGCAUACAAACAGUCGGAGCCUCCUUGUGGGGUGACGGCGUACCUUUUGUAUAAUGGGUCAGCGACUUACAUUCAGUGGCAAGGUUAACCGAAUAGGGAAGCCGUAGAGAAAUCGAGUCCGAAUAGGGCGUUCAGUCGCUGGGUGUAGACCCGAAACCAAGUGAUCUAUCCAUGGCCAGGAUGAAGGUGCCGUAACAGGUACUGGAGGUCCGAACCGACUAAUGUUGCAAAAUUAGCGGAUGAGCUGUGGAUAGGGGUGAAAGGCUAAACAAACUUGGAAAUAGCUGGUUCUCUCCGAAAACUAUUUAGGUAGUGCCUCAAGUAUUACCGUCGGGGGUAGAGCACUGUUAUGGCUAGGGGGUCAUGGCGACUUACCAAACCAUUGCAAACUCCGAAUACCGAUGAGUACAGCUUGGGAGACAGUGCACCGGGUGCUAACGUCCGGACACAAGAGGGAAACAACCCAGACCGCCAGCUAAGGUCCCCAAAAUUGGCUAAGUGGGAAACGAAGUGGGAAGGCUAAAACAGUCAGGAUGUUGGCUUAGAAGCAGCCAUCAUUUAAAGAAAGCGUAAUAGCUCACUGAUCGAGUCGUCCUGCGCGGAAGAUGUAACGGGGCUAAGCCAGUUACCGAAGCUGCGGAUGUGCGCGCAAGCGUACGUGGUAGGAGAGCGUUCUGUAGGCCUGUGAAGGUGGCUUGUGAAGGCUGCUGGAGGUAUCAGAAGUGCGAAUGCUGACAUGAGUAGCGUUAAAGGGGGUGAAAAGCCCCCUCGCCGAAAGCGCAAGGUUUCCUACGCAACGUUCAUCGGCGUAGGGUGAGUCGGCCCCUAAGGCGAGGCAGAGAUGCGUAGCUGAUGGAGAACAGGUCAAUAUUCCUGUACCGAUAUGUAGUGCGAUGUGGGGACGGAGAAGGUUAACUCAGCCGGGUGUUGGAUGUCCCGGUUCAAGCGUGUAGUCGUGUCCCUUAGGCAAAUCCGGGGGAAUUAGAUGAGGCGUGAUAACGAGGCGGCUUGCCGCUGAAGUGAGUGAUACCCUGCUUCCAGGAAAAGCCACUAAGCUCCAGCUACAUACGACCGUACCGCAAACCGACACUGGUGCGCGAGAUGAGUAUUCUAAGGCGCUUGAGAGAACUCUGGAGAAGGAACUCGGCAAAUUGACACCGUAACUUCGGAAGAAGGUGUGCCUUUAGUAGGUGAUCCAUUUACUUGGUGAGCCCAAUAAGGCCGCAGAGAAUCGGUGGCUGCAACUGUUUAUUAAAAACACAGCACUCUGCAAAGACGAAAGUCGACGUAUAGGGUGUGACUCCUGCCCGGUGCUGGAAGAUUAAAUGAUGGGGUGCAAGCUCUUGACUGAAGUCCCAGUAAACGGCGGCCGUAACUAUAACGGUCCUAAGGUAGCGAAAUUCCUUGUC